RNAcentral lists this ribosomal RNA (882 nucleotides) under Diaporthe sp. Its description in RNAcentral is "partial large subunit ribosomal RNA". It matches the Rfam family "Eukaryotic large subunit ribosomal RNA", at positions 74 to 988 of the family's 3401-position model. The record is from RNAcentral. Lineage: Eukaryota; Fungi; Ascomycota; Sordariomycetes; Diaporthales; Diaporthaceae.
AUUGCCCUAGUAACGGCGAGUGAAGCGGCAACAGCUCAAAUUUGAAAUCUGGCUUCGGCCCGAGUUGUAAUUUGCAGAGGAUGUUUCUGGCGCGGUGCCUUCCGAGUUCCCUGGAACGGGACGCCACAGAGGGUGAGAGCCCCGUAUGGUCGGACACCAAGCCUGUGUGAAACUCCUUCAACGAGUCGAGUAGUUUGGGAAUGCUGCUCUAAAUGGGAGGUAAAUCUCUUCUAAAGCUAAAUACCGGCCAGAGACCGAUAGCGCACAAGUAGAGUGAUCGAAAGAUGAAAAGCACCUUGAAAAGGGGGUUAAAUAGUACGUGAAAUUGUUGAAAGGGAAGCACUUAUGACCAGACUUGGGCCGGGCGGCUCAUCAGGGGUUCUCCCCUGUGCACUCCGCCCGGCACAGGCCAGCAUCGGUUUUCGCGGGGGGAUAAGACCGACGGGAACGUAGCACCCUCCGGGGUGUGUUAUAGCCCGGCGGACGAUACCCUCGCGGGGACCGAGGUCCGCGCUCCGCAAGGAUGCUGGCGUAAUGGUCAUCAGUGACCCGUCUUGAAACACGGACCAAGGAGUCGUCCAUUAGAGCGAGCGUUUGGGUGUAAAACCCGCACGCGUAAUGAAAGUGAACGCAGGUGAGAGCUUCGGCGCAUCAUCGACCGAUCCUGAUGUUCUCGGAAGGAUUUGAGUAAGAGUUUUAACGGACGGACCCGAAAGACAGUGAACUAUGCUUGUAUAGGGUGAAGCCAGAGGAAACUCUGGUGGAGGCUCGCAGCGGUUCUGACGUGCAAAUCGAUCGUCAAAUAUGAGCAUGGGGGCGAAAGACUAAUCGAACUGUCUAGUAGCUGGUUACCGCCGAAGUUUCCCUCAGGAUAGCAGUGUU